Non-coding RNA from Jatropha curcas, 755 nucleotides. The record is from RefSeq and is a predicted model, not a curated record. Lineage: Eukaryota; Viridiplantae; Streptophyta; Magnoliopsida; Malpighiales; Euphorbiaceae.
UCUAUUUUGUUUAGUGCUUUAGUCCACAAUCACAUGGAUAUGGUGGUAAAUAAGCAACAUCUUUCAGUUUGAAUACCUCUUCGAGGCUCCUGUUCAGCGAGCGGUGACAGUAGCUUGAAGAUCCUCUUAUCCUUCCUUCUGUCAUCAUUUACGACCUGUUAGCUAACUCCAAAUGCUCAUUGCUUGUUGUUAGAGAUCCAGAGGAUAGGACUGAUUUGGUAAUCACUAUGCUCGGUGAUGCUGUUUCUUCAAUUAUGGAGCUGUGAUGACAAAUUUACCCUUCAGUUGCCUGUCAGUUUAAAUUUGAAACGCAACUUAAAUUGACAAAAGAUUGAAUUUUGAAGUGUUUGCAAGGCUCCAAAGUCUAGGCACAAGCGUCCAAAAGUUAUUCAAUAUAUGUUUCACUUUGAUUGAUGCUUUCCUCGUUCCGCUAUGGAUGCUAUAAAAAUCAAGACCAAUAAUGUCAAUACCAGACCUGUGGGCAAUGAGGAUUCAUCUGUUAAAAUUAAGGUAUUGUUCUUCGCUAGAGCUCGAGAUCUAACCGGUUUAACAGAGGUGCCAUUAGAGGUUUCAUCUGGUGCUACUACAAGUGACUGUUUGGAUAAGCUUGUAUCAAAAUUCCCAGGUUUGCAAGAAAUCCGCAAUUGCAUAGUGGUUGCUCUAAAUGAGGAGUACACAACAGAGUCAGCAGUUGUUAAAGACAAAGAUGAAUUGGCAAUUAUACCUCCCAUUAGUGGAGGCUGAUUUUUCUUGCA